RNAcentral lists this long non-coding RNA (540 nucleotides) under Mytilus galloprovincialis (Mediterranean mussel). The record is from RNAcentral. Lineage: Eukaryota; Metazoa; Mollusca; Bivalvia; Mytilida; Mytilidae.
AUCCAGCCAUUUAAAAAAACUAGAGGCUCUAAAGAGCCUGUGUCGCUCACCUUGGUCUAUGUGCAUAUUAAACAAAGGACACAAAUGGAUUCAUGACAAAAUUGUAUUUUGGUGAUGGUGAUGUGUUUGAAGUUCUUACUUUACUGAACGAUUUUGCUUCUUACAAUUAUAUCUAUAAUGAACUUUGCCCAUUAGUAACAGAGAACUAUAUUUGGUAAAAAUUUACAUAAAUUUACCAAAUUAAUGAAAAUUGUUAAAAAUUGACUAUAAAGGGCAAUAACUCCUUAAGGAGUCAAUUGACCAUUUAGGUCAUGUUGACUUAUUUGUAGAUCUUACUUUGCUGAACAUUAUUGCUAUUUACAGUUUAUCGCUAUCUAUAAUAGUAUUCAAGAUAACCAAAAACGGCAAAAUUUCUUUAAAAAUUACCAAUUGGAGGGCAGCAACCAACAACCAGUUUGUCCAAUUCAUCUGAAAAAUUCAGGGCAGAUAGAUAUUGACUUGAUUAACAAUUUAACUUCUUGUCAGAUUUGCUCUAGAUGC